AGCCAAGGACAUGAUUCUAUACUUGAUGUCACUGAUCAGGUUGUAUCUGAGUAUAAUCAAAUGGUUUCUGAGUCU
Small nucleolar RNA from Arabidopsis thaliana (thale cress), 75 nucleotides. It matches the Rfam family "Small nucleolar RNA R43". Rfam says of the family: R43 is a member of the C/D class of snoRNA which contain the C (UGAUGA) and D (CUGA) box motifs. Most of the members of the box C/D family function in directing site-specific 2'-O-methylation of substrate RNAs. The record is from Rfam. Lineage: Eukaryota; Viridiplantae; Streptophyta; Magnoliopsida; Brassicales; Brassicaceae.